Molecule: long non-coding RNA, 328 nt
Filed under: Marmota monax (woodchuck)
Lineage: Eukaryota; Metazoa; Chordata; Mammalia; Rodentia; Sciuridae
Source: RNAcentral
CUGAAAGUGAUCUUUUCAAAAUAUUUUCAUUAGUAGAAGAUCGUUUUUCCGGCUAUUACCAUUUAAGGCUUCCUAAACUCAAGACUGUUUGAGACUCAUGUAAAUCACACUCCAUGUCUCAAGUAGGAAAAAUAUGAGAGUGCAAGACAGAUCCAUAAUUUCACUUUGAGUAAGCAGAAGCCUCCUUUGUGAUUAGACUGCAACCCCAGAUUCUGUGUGCCCAAAUGUGCUUCUUUCCCUUUACUUCCAUUGUGCUGAUAUGAAGCACACUAACUUAUGGACUUCCAAGAUGCCUAGUCAUGGUCUUAAUCCACCUCUUGGGAAACCC